Molecule: ribosomal RNA, 1340 nt
Filed under: uncultured bacterium
Lineage: Bacteria
Description: 16S ribosomal RNA
Rfam family: Bacterial small subunit ribosomal RNA
Source: RNAcentral
GACGAACGCUGGCGGCGUGCUUAACACAUGCAAGUCGAACGGUAAGGCUCCAGCUUGCUGGGGUACACGAGUGGCGAACGGGUGAGUAACACGUGGGUGACCUGCCCUGCACUUCGGGAUAAGCCUGGGAAACUGGGUCUAAUACCGGAUAGGACCGCACCGUGAGGGUGUGGUGGAAAGUUUUUUCGGUGUGGGAUGGGCCCGCGGCCUAUCAGCUUGUUGGUGGGGUAAUGGCCUACCAAGGCGGCGACGGGUAGCCGGCCUGAGAGGGUGGACGGCCACAUUGGGACUGAGACACGGCCCAGACUCCUACGGGAGGCAGCAGUGGGGAAUAUUGCACAAUGGGCGGAAGCCUGAUGCAGCGACGCCGCGUGGGGGAUGACGGCCUUCGGGUUGUAAACUCCUUUCACCAUCGACGAAGGGUUUCUGACGGUAGAUGGAGAAGAAGCACCGGCUAACUACGUGCCAGCAGCCGCGGUAAUACGUAGGGUGCGAGCGUUGUCCGGAAUUACUGGGCGUAAAGAGCUCGUAGGUGGUUUGUCGCGUCGUCUGUGAAAUUCCGGGGCUUAACUCCGGGCGUGCAGGCGAUACGGGCAUAACUUGAGUACUGUAGGGGAGACUGGAAUUCCUGGUGUAGCGGUGAAAUGCGCAGAUAUCAGGAGGAACACCGGUGGCGAAGGCGGGUCUCUGGGCAGUAACUGACGCUGAGGAGCGAAAGCAUGGGGAGCGAACAGGAUUAGAUACCCUGGUAGUCCAUGCCGUAAACGGUGGGCGCUAGGUGUGGGUUUCCUUCCACGGGAUCCGUGCCGUAGCUAACGCAUUAAGCGCCCCGCCUGGGGAGUACGGCCGCAAGGCUAAAACUCAAAGGAAUUGACGGGGGCCCGCACAAGCGGCGGAGCAUGUGGAUUAAUUCGAUGCAACGCGAAGAACCUUACCUGGGCUUGACAUAUACAGGAUCGCGCCAGAGAUGGUGUUUCCCUUGUGGCUUGUAUACAGGUGGUGCAUGGUUGUCGUCAGCUCGUGUCGUGAGAUGUUGGGUUAAGUCCCGCAACGAGCGCAACCCUUGUCUUAUGUUGCCAGCACGUUGUGGUGGGGACUCGUAAGAAACUGCCGGGGUUAACUCGGAGGAAGGUGGGGAUGACGUCAAAUCAUCAUGCCCCUUAUGUCCAGGGCUUCACACAUGCUACAAUGGUCGGUACAGUGGGUUGCCAGUCCGUGAGGGCGAGCUAAUCCCGCAAAGCCGGUCUCAGUUCGGAUCGGGGUCUGCAACUCGACCCCGUGAAGUCGGAGUCGCUAGUAAUCGCAGAUCAGCAACGCUGCGGUGAAUACGUUCCCGGGCC